Molecule: ribosomal RNA, 323 nt
Filed under: uncultured eukaryote
Lineage: Eukaryota
Description: partial 18S ribosomal RNA
Rfam family: Eukaryotic small subunit ribosomal RNA
Source: RNAcentral
CCCUUAGAUGUUCUGGGCCGCACGCGCGCUACACUGAUGCAUUCAACGAGCCUAUCCUUGACCGACAGGUCCGGGUAAUCUUUGAAUCUGCAUCGUGACGGGGAUAGAUUAUUGCAAUUAUUAAUCUUCAACGAGGAAUGCCUAGUAGGCGCAAGUCAUCAGCUUGCGUCGAUUACGUCCCUGCCCUUUGUACACACCGCCCGUCGCUGCUACCGAUUGGUUGAUCUGGUGAAUUAUUCGGACUGCCGGCUGAAGGGGUUUCCUCAUCUGCCAGCGGAAAGUCUUGUUAACCCUAUCAACUAGAGGAAGCAGAAGUCGUAACA